AGCACAUUGAGUUUCCAGAGGAGGGGGUUACAAAAAAGAAUGAAGUGAAAUAUUGAACUCAGGAGGCAGAGAGUCACUGUGAGUCAGAGGAAAUCCGAAGUAACUCAUGUGAAUGAGUUCCUGAAUUCGUCUUUGAAAAGGUAAACUCCAUCCUCUCAUACUUAGGUUUGUCACCUUCUAAUAGCUGUCAACUCUCUACAUAAAGUGCUUGCAAAACA
RNAcentral lists this long non-coding RNA (218 nucleotides) under Mus pahari (shrew mouse). RNAcentral's name for it is "lncRNA (MGP_PahariEiJ_G0006059.1)". The record is from RNAcentral. Lineage: Eukaryota; Metazoa; Chordata; Mammalia; Rodentia; Muridae.